This 70-nucleotide transfer RNA is filed under the name Spinus psaltria (lesser goldfinch). RNAcentral describes it as "tRNA-Val". It matches the Rfam family "tRNA". Rfam says of the family: Transfer RNA (tRNA) molecules are approximately 80 nucleotides in length. Their secondary structure includes four short double-helical elements and three loops (D, anti-codon, and T loops). Further hydrogen bonds mediate the characteristic L-shaped molecular structure. tRNAs have two regions of fundamental functional importance: the anti-codon, which is responsible for specific mRNA codon recognition, and the 3' end, to which the tRNAs corresponding amino acid is attached (by aminoacyl-tRNA synthetases). tRNAs cope with the degeneracy of the genetic code in two manners: having more than one tRNA (with a specific anti-codon) for a particular amino acid; and 'wobble' base-pairing, i.e. permitting non-standard base-pairing at the 3rd anti-codon position. The record is from RNAcentral. Lineage: Eukaryota; Metazoa; Chordata; Aves; Passeriformes; Fringillidae.
CAAGACGUAGCUUAAAUAAAAGCAUUCAGCUUACACCUGAAAAAUGUCUGUUAACACCAGAUCGUCUUGA